UAGCAUAUCAAUAAGCGGAGGAAAAGAAACUAACAAGGAUUCCCCUAGUAACUGCGAGUGAAGCGGGAAAAGCUCAAAUUUAAAAUCUGGCAGUCUUUGAUUGUCCGAGUUGUAAUCUAGAGAAGCAUUAUCCGCGCUGGACCGUGUACAAGUCUCCUGGAAUGGAGCGUCAUAGAGGGUGAGAAUCCCGUCUUUGACACGGACUGCCAGGGCUUUGUGAUGUGCUCUCAAAGAGUCGAGUUGUUUGGGAAUGCAGCUCAAAAUGGGUGGUAAAUUCCAUCUAAAGCUAAAUAUUGGCGAGAGACCGAUAGCGAACAAGUACCGUGAGGGAAAGAUGAAAAGAACUUUGGAAAGAGAGUUAAACAGUACGUGAAAUUGCUGAAAGGGAAACGCUUGAAGUCAGUCGCGUUGGCCGGGAAUCAACCUUGCUUUUGCUGGGCGUACUUCCUGGUUAACGGGUCAGCAUCAAUUUUGACCGUUGGAUAAAGUUGUUGGGAAUGUGGCAUCUUCGGAUGUGUUAUAGCCCAGUUUCGUAUACAACGGUUGGGAUUGAGGAACUCAGCACGCCGCAAGGCCGGGUUUUUAACCACGUUCGUGCUUAGGAUGCUGGCAUAAUGGCUUUAAUCGACCCGUCUUGAAACACGGACCAAGGAGUCUAACAUGCCUGCGAGUGUUUGGGUGGAAAACCCGAGCGCGUAAUGAAAGUGAAAGUUGAGAUCCCUGUCGUGGGGAGCAUCGACGCCCGGACUUGAACUUUUGUGACGGAUCCGCGGUAGAGCAUGUAUGUUGGGACCCGAAAGAUGGUGAACUAUGCCUGAAUAGGGUGAAGCCAGAGGAAACUCUGGUGGAGGCUCGUAGCGAUUCUGACGUGCAAAUCGAUCGUCAAAUUUGGGUAUAGGGGCGAAAGACUAAU
Molecule: ribosomal RNA, 913 nt
Filed under: Panaeolus subbalteatus
Lineage: Eukaryota; Fungi; Basidiomycota; Agaricomycetes; Agaricales
Description: LSU rRNA
Rfam family: Eukaryotic large subunit ribosomal RNA
Source: RNAcentral